GUGGGGAAUCUUGCGCAAUGGGCGAAAGCCUGACGCAGUCAUGCCGCGUGAAUGAUGAAGGUCUUAGGAUUGUAAAAUUCUUUCACCGGGGACGAUAAUGACGGUACCCGGAGAAGAAGCCCCGGCUAACUUCGUGCCAGCAGCCGCGGUAAUACGAAGGGGGCUAGCGUUGCUCGGAAUUACUGGGCGUAAAGGGCGCGUAGGCGGACAGUUUAGUCAGAGGUGAAAGCCCAGGGCUCAACCUUGGAAUUGCCUUUGAUACUGGCUGUCUUGAGUACGGGAGAGGUGAGUGGAACUCCGAGUGUAGAGGUGAAAUUCGUAGAUAUUCGGAAGAACACCAGUGGCGAAGGCGACUCACUGGCCCGUUACUGACGCUGAGGCGCGAAAGCGUGGGGAGCAAACAGGAUUAGAUACCCCUGUAGUCC
This 425-nucleotide ribosomal RNA is filed under the name uncultured bacterium. RNAcentral describes it as "partial 16S ribosomal RNA". It matches the Rfam family "Bacterial small subunit ribosomal RNA", at positions 354 to 796 of the family's 1533-position model. The record is from RNAcentral.